This 73-nucleotide transfer RNA is filed under the name Thermoanaerobacter pseudethanolicus ATCC 33223. It matches the Rfam family "tRNA". Rfam says of the family: Transfer RNA (tRNA) molecules are approximately 80 nucleotides in length. The record is from Rfam by way of RNAcentral. Lineage: Bacteria; Bacillati; Bacillota; Clostridia; Thermoanaerobacterales; Thermoanaerobacteraceae. RNAcentral also lists the same sequence under 4 other names.
GCGCCAUUAGCUCAGUUGGUAGAGCAGCUGACUCUUAAUCAGCGGGUCCGGGGUUCGAGUCCCUGAUGGCGCA